AUCAGCCUUUCGGGUGCGAUUCUGUGGAGUUUGAGGAGCUAAACACCUUCAUGCUUUGCAUAUUCGUGCUCUUGGGUGUACUUGCUCGUGUGGUUGGUUAACAUCAAUUUUGGUGGUCAUAAAAUGACUGGAGGAAUGUAGCUUCGAUCUCGUAUUGAAGUGUUAUAGCCUUCGGUAGAUGUGAUGAUCGAGAUUGAGGAUUGCAACGGAUACCCUUCGGGGCUACCUGUCUGGUCUCUGAUCGUUGCUCUGGUGCCGAAAGCUUGCUUACGGUUAUCAAAGUCGAUGGUCAAUAGGUUAGAACGGGUUAAAUUCGUUAAGGAUGUUGACGUAAUGGCUUU
This 341-nucleotide ribosomal RNA is filed under the name uncultured Glomeromycotina. Its description in RNAcentral is "eukaryotic LSU rRNA". Lineage: Eukaryota; Fungi; Glomeromycota. The record is from RNAcentral.